RNAcentral lists this small nuclear RNA (20 nucleotides) under Arabidopsis thaliana (thale cress). RNAcentral describes it as "snRNA_13309". The record is from RNAcentral. Lineage: Eukaryota; Viridiplantae; Streptophyta; Magnoliopsida; Brassicales; Brassicaceae.
AUCUCUUUAUCUCUUACUUU